AACGAACGCUGGCGGCAUGCCUAACACAUGCAAGUCGAACGAGACCUUCGGGUCUAGUGGCGCACGGGUGCGUAACACGUGGGAAUUUGCCUCGGGGUAUGGAAUAACUCAGGGGAAACUUGAGCUAAUACCAUAUAAUGUCUUCGGACCAAAGAUUUAUCGCCCUGAGAUAAGCCCGCGUAGGAUUAGCUAGUUGGUGGGGUAAAGGCUCACCAAGGCGACGAUCCUUAGCUGGUCUGAGAGGAUGAUCAGCCACACUGGGACUGAGACACGGCCCAGACUCCUACGGGAGGCAGCAGUGGGGAAUAUUGGACAAUGGGCGAAAGACCUGAUCCAGCAAUGCCGCGUGAGGGAAGAAUGCCUAUGGGUUGUAAACCUCUUUUUUCUACGGGAGGAAUCAAAUGACGUGUACCUGAAGAAUAAGCAUCGGCUAACUCCGUGCCAGCAGCGCGG
This 453-nucleotide ribosomal RNA is filed under the name uncultured bacterium. RNAcentral describes it as "bacterial SSU rRNA". It matches the Rfam family "Bacterial small subunit ribosomal RNA", at positions 29 to 520 of the family's 1533-position model. The record is from RNAcentral.